GACGAACGCUGGCGGCGUGCUUAACACAUGCAAGUCGAACGGAAAGGCCCCUUUGGGGGUCCUCGAGUGGCGAACGGGUGAGUAACACGUGAGUAACCUGCCCUUGACUUCGGGAUAACUUCAGGAAACUGGGGCAAAUACCGGUAAGGAAUCCUUGCGCCUUGGGGGGGGUGGGAAAGCUCCGGCGGUUUUGGAUGGAUUGGCGGGCUAUCGGCUUGUUGGGGGGGUGGUGGGUUACAAAGGCUUUGAGGGGUAGCCGGCCUGAGGGGGCGACCGGCCACAUUGGGACUGAGGUGCGGCCCAGGCUCCUACGGGGGGCAGCAGUGGGGAAUAUUGCACAAUGGGCGGAAGCCUGAUGCAGCAGCGCCGCGUGCGGGAUGACGGCCUUCGGGUUGUAAAACGCUUUCAGCAGGGGCGAAGCUUGUGGUGACGGUACCUACAGAAGAAGCACCGGCUAACUACGUG
RNAcentral lists this ribosomal RNA (465 nucleotides) under uncultured bacterium. Its description in RNAcentral is "partial 16S ribosomal RNA". It matches the Rfam family "Bacterial small subunit ribosomal RNA", at positions 28 to 507 of the family's 1533-position model. The record is from RNAcentral.